Molecule: long non-coding RNA, 263 nt
Filed under: Elaeis guineensis (African oil palm)
Lineage: Eukaryota; Viridiplantae; Streptophyta; Magnoliopsida; Arecales; Arecaceae
Description: long non-coding RNA (EGUI_LNC038097)
Source: RNAcentral
AUAGUGACAUUCACUCAGAAUUAUAUUUCAAAAAUUGAUUACAAGGUUCAUGAUUCCUAAUGCUAGAACUGGAACUUUGCUUCCAUCUCCAACGUUCAGGAAUCUCUCGCCUUCAUCAAAUCUCCUACUGACCUGUAGACCUGCAUCGAAUUGCAAAUAUGAUAAGGGCUUCCAGUAUCCAAUACCCAGGCAGUAGUAUCACAAAUGAAAAAGUUGCAAGGUGUUAUCAUAUAAGUACCUUGCUUCUUCUUCGGCCUGUUCGG